RNAcentral lists this transfer RNA (55 nucleotides) under Ascidiota blepharophylla subsp. alaskana. RNAcentral's name for it is "partial tRNA-Leu". Lineage: Eukaryota; Viridiplantae; Streptophyta; Jungermanniopsida; Porellales; Porellaceae. The record is from RNAcentral.
GGACUAAAAUCCGUUGGCUUUAUAGACCAUGAGGGUUCAACUCCCUCUACCCCCA